This is a long non-coding RNA of Oncorhynchus tshawytscha (Chinook salmon), 2483 nucleotides long. The record is from Ensembl. NCBI's taxonomy places the organism in Eukaryota, Metazoa, Chordata, Actinopteri, Salmoniformes, Salmonidae.
GGCCUUUCUAGGGAGUUUUUCCUAGCCACCGUGCUUCUACACCUGCAUUGCUUGCUGUUUGGGGUUUUAGGCUGGGUUUCUGUACAGCACUUUGAGAUAUCAGCUGAUAAAUAAAUUUGAUUUGACCGCGCAGGGAUGCUGACCUGGAUCACCGAGCAACCUACCUUGGAAAAAAACACAGGAUUUAGUGAAAGGUUUUAGAGAGUUGAAAAAAAAAAGAAUGAAUGUUGUCACAGAAAGUGGAACAAGACAUGAGUGAAAGCAAUGGUGGGUCAGACAGAAAUAACACAGAUGUUGAGAGCAGGAGAAACAGUGUUGGAGUGGGCGGGUCAGCUGACCUCUUGGUCCACCACUGAAAAGACAUAACGGACACAAUGUAUUUCUAUCGGGAGGUAAGGGACUCUGGCACUCAAAUACAGUUGUAUUAUGUCAGUGAGGCAGAGGUGGAAAGUAAGGCACAGAGGAUUUCUGGGGUACCUCUGGUCACCAUAAAAGGAAAGUGUAUCGUGCCUGGCAUCCUCAAAUACAGAGACAGUUGUCUCUGCCAAGCAGCGCAUAGCAUGUGGGAUUGCCCAUGUUAUAGACUCCAAGAAAUCACAGCCCCGGCUAAUGGCCAUGGUCUCUCAGCUCCACUUUGUCCAGAUGUCGCCGACCCAGAUAUCUCAGCUCCGCUUUGUCCAGAUGUCGCCGACCCAGAUACCUCAGCUCCACUUUGUCCAGAUGUCAUCGACCCAGAUAACUCAGCUCCGCUUCGUCCAGAUGUCAUCGACCCAGAUACCUCAGCUCCGCUUCAUCCAGAUACCUCAGCUCCACUUUGUCCAGAUGUCAUCGACCCAGAUACCUCAGCUCCACUUCGUCCAGAUGUCGCCGACCCAGAUACCUCAGCUCCACUUCGUCCAGAUGUCAUCGACCCAGAUACCUCAGCUCCACUUCGUCCAGAUGUCGCCAACCCAGAUACCUCAGCUCCACUUCGUCCAGAUGUCAUCGAGGCUCACCACACUGGACAGUGGUGCAUUGUGAACUAGGAUGAACAACCAUACCCUGGCGUUAUACUGGAGGUCAAAGAACAAAAGGUCAAAGUGCAUGCACAGGAAUGGAGUCAACAAGCCCAAGAGAUGAUAAACUGGUAUGGGGAUGUUCAGAUUGUGUGUCUGAUGCAAUACCUGCUGCCAGUGAACAAAAGGUCAUCUCAGAUUUACCACAGUAUCUGGAAGUAAUUGGAGGACCACCUGAAUGUGUGAAAGUGGCAGAUGUGAACUGGCCAGCAGAGAAGAAGCCGUCAGUGGCUAGAAAGCAAUGGAGACUGUCCCGGAAAUGAUAAGAUGGACUUGACACGAUAAUAUGGGAAAGACAAACUUUUGUAAAGACAAACAUAAAGACAAACAUCAAGUAAAAGUGAAGUUAGUAUGGGAAAUAAUUAGUAGGGGAAAAGUUAGUACAGAAAAUAGGCCAAUUCCAUGAACAUGUUUUACUGCAUACAAUAUGUUAAUAUCAGUGCUUUUGGAAAAACUGUCUUAGUUUACAUUCAAUGUUGUUUCUAUUGUUCUUGUUUCUAGUUCUAAUAGAGAUAUUAUGUUUCUAGUUCUAAUAGAGAUAUUAUGUUUCUAUAGUUCUAAUAGAGAUAUUAUGUUUCUAUAGUUCUAAUAGAGAUGUUGUUUCUAUAGUUCUAAUAGAGAUAUUAUGUUUCUAUAGCUCUAGAGAUAUUGUUUCUAUAGUUCGAAUAGAGAUAUUAUGUUUAUAUAGUUCUAAUAGAGAUGUUAUGUUUCUAUAGUUCUAAUAGAGAUGUUAUGUUUCUAUAGUUCUAAUAGAGAUGUUAUGUUUCUAUAGCUCUAAUAGAGAUGUUUCUAUAGCUCUAAUAGAGAUGUUUCUAUAGUUCUAAUAGAGAUGUUAUGUUUCUAUAGUUCUAAUAGAGAUGUUAUGUUUCUAUAGUUCUAAUAGAGAUGUUAUGUUUCUAUAGUUCUAAUAGAGAUGUUAUGUUUCUAUAGUUCUAAUAGAGAUAUGUUUCUAUAGCUCUAAUAGAGAUGUUAUGUUUCUAUAGUUCUAAUAGAGAUGUUAUGUUUUUAUAGUUCUAAGAGAUAUUAUGUUUCUAUAGUUCUAAUAGAGAUGUUAUGUUUCUAUAGUUCUAAUAGAGAUGUUAUGUUUCUAUAGUUCUAAUAGAGAUAUAUUUCUAUAGCUCUAAUAGAGAUAUGUUUCUAUAGCUCUAAUAGAGAUGUUUCUAUAGUUCUAAUAGAGAAGUUAUGUUUCUAUAGUUCUAAUAGAGAUGUUUCUAUAGUUCUAAUAGAGAUAUGUUUCUAUAGUUCUAAUAGAGAUAUGUUUCUAUAGUUCUAAUAGAGAUAUGUUUCUAUAGUUCUAAUAGAGAUAUGUUUCCAUAGCUCUAAUAGAGAUGUUUCUAUAGCUCUAAUAGAGAUGUUUCUAUAGCUCUAAUAGAGAUGUUUCUAUAGUUCUAAUAGAGAUGUUAUGUUUCCAUAGUUCUAAGAGAUAUU